CUGUAGAUGAUAUGGACUACCAGUGCAUGUGUGAUACAGUCUCUAAGAGUCGAGUUGUUUGGGAAUGCAGCUCAAAGCGGGUGGUAAAUUCCAUCUAAGGCUAAAUAUAAGUGAGAGACCGAUAGCAAACAAGUACCGUGAGGGAAAGAUGAAAAGAACUUUGAAAAUAGAGUUAACAGUACGUGAAAUUGCUGAAAGGGAAACGUUUAAAGUUAGUUUUGUUGUCGUUAGUUCAGCUUCGCAAGGAGUGUAUUCUAAUGAUCAUCAAGCCAGCAUCAAUUUUGGGUAUGGGAUAAGGGUUUUGAGAACGUAGCAAACAAGUUGUGUUAUAGCUUGAAACUUGGAUACCAUGCUUGAGAUUGAGGAUCCUGUGGUGAGCUUAGUGCAGACUUAUUUAUAGGUCUUCUUGCCAUGGAUGUUGGUGAAAUAACUUGAAGCGACCCGUCUUGAAACACGGACCAAGGAGUCUAACAUGCAUGCGAGUAUUAGGGUGUUGAAACCCGAAUGCGAAAUGAAGGUGAUGGCAAGAUGUGAUCUGCAAGGUGCAACAUCGACCGGUCCUGAUUAUUUAUAUAAAGGUACUGAGUAAGAGCAUGUAUGUUAGGACCCGAAAGAUGGUGAACUAUGCCUGGAUAGAGUGAAGUCAGAGGAAACUCUGAUGGAAGCUCGUAGCGGUUCUGACGUGCA
RNAcentral lists this ribosomal RNA (687 nucleotides) under Chrysomyxa weirii. RNAcentral's name for it is "eukaryotic LSU rRNA". It matches the Rfam family "Eukaryotic large subunit ribosomal RNA", at positions 221 to 895 of the family's 3401-position model. Lineage: Eukaryota; Fungi; Basidiomycota; Pucciniomycetes; Pucciniales; Coleosporiaceae. The record is from RNAcentral.